This 777-nucleotide ribosomal RNA is filed under the name Triticum aestivum (bread wheat). Its description in RNAcentral is "partial small subunit ribosomal RNA". The record is from RNAcentral. Lineage: Eukaryota; Viridiplantae; Streptophyta; Magnoliopsida; Poales; Poaceae.
AUGCGGGAACAUCAACCUGCCGCACGUCACCCAAAGCUUACCUACUGUGGCUGCUUCCUUCCCCAUCAAAUACUUGGGCCUGCCCUUAUCUGUUUGGCAACUCAAAACAGUGGACUUCCAGUUCCUCUUGGACAAGGCGGCGGCAAAGCUAGGCGUCUGGGACGGCCAAAAUAUUACCGCCAUUGGGAGGGGGCCUUGGUCAAGUCCGUGCUCUCCUCCUUGGCGGUCUACUUCCUCACCCCACUCAUUGUGCCGACGGGCACUCUACGGCAGCUCACAAAGCUUCAGAGGGCCUUCCUUUGGGCAGGAUCGGAUAAGGCAACCGGUGCAAAAUGCAAGGUGAACUGGGAUAUCGUGUGUAGGCCUUCCGAGUUUGGGGGCCUUGGCGUACUCAACACGGAAAAAUUUGCGAGGGCACUAAGGCUGCGUUGGCUUUGGUUUGAGUGGAAGGAGCCGUCCAAGAUGUGGGUCGGUUUGGGGAACCCGUGCGAUGACAAGGACUAUGAUCUUUUUUGCGCCUUCUCCACCAUCACUGUUGGCAAUGGUGCCCGCACACCUUUUUGGGAUGCUCCUUGGGUGCAUGGGAGAAAGCCCAAAGACAUUGCUCCGCUCAUUUAUGGUGUUGCCACAAGGAAGAAUUGGAAAAUCAGAGAGGCUCUAUUUGUUAGACAAAAUAGGGUUUGGAACAAUGCUCGAUACCCUUGGUGGGUACGGCUGUCAUAUAUUUAUAAGAGGAAACCGUACAAAUACAGGUUAUGUUACAACACGUAUAUCUAA